CUACGGGGGGCACCAGGGACGAAAACUUUACAAUGCGCGAAAGCGUGAUAAGGGGAUUCUGAGUGGCAUUGGCUUUGCUAAUGUCUUUUGCUAAGUGUAAACAGCUUGGAGAAUAAGGGUGUGGGAAAGACUGGUGGCAGCCGCCGCGGUAAUACCAGCGCCUCGAGUGGUACCCACGUAUACUGGGCCUAAAGCGUACGUAGCCGGUUUAGUAAGUCUACUGUGAAAUCUUGGAGCUUAACUCUAAGGCGUGCAGUAGAUACUGUUAGACUAGAGAGCGGGGGAGAUAAGGAGUACACCUGGGGUAGGGGUAAAAUCCGUUGAGCCUAGGUGGACUAUCAGUGGCGAAGGCGCCUUAUCAAAACGCAUCUGACGGUGAGGUACGAAGGCUAGGGGAGCGAACGGGAUUAGAUACCCGAGUAGUC
RNAcentral lists this ribosomal RNA (425 nucleotides) under uncultured archaeon. RNAcentral's name for it is "partial 16S ribosomal RNA". It matches the Rfam family "Archaeal small subunit ribosomal RNA", at positions 323 to 746 of the family's 1478-position model. The record is from RNAcentral.